Molecule: ribosomal RNA, 1457 nt
Filed under: uncultured bacterium
Lineage: Bacteria
Description: bacterial SSU rRNA
Rfam family: Bacterial small subunit ribosomal RNA
Source: RNAcentral
AGAGUUUGAUCCUGGCUCAGAAUGAACGCUGGCGGCGUGCUUAACACAUGCAAGUCGAACGGUAACAGAGGAGCUUGCUCCUGCUGACGAGUGGCGCACGGGUGAGUAAUGCAUAGGUAACGUGCCCCUUAGUCUGGGAUAGCCACUGGAAACGGUGAUUAAUACUGGAUACUCCUUCUUCCUUAAUGGAAGUUGGGAAAUUUUUUAGCUAAGGGAUCGGCCUAUGUUGUAUCAGGUAGUUGGUGAGGUAAUGGCUCACCAAGCCUAUGACACAUAGCGGGUCUGAGAGGAUGAUCCGCCACACUGGUACUGAGACACGGACCAGACUCCUACGGGAGGCAGCAGUGGGGAAUAUUGCACAAUGGACGAAAGUCUGAUGCAGCAACGCCGCGUGGAGGAUGACACAUUUCGGUGCGUAAACUCCUUUUAUAUGAGAAGAUAAUGACGGUAUCAUAUGAAUAAGCACCGGCUAACUCCGUGCCAGCAGCCGCGGUAAUACGGAGGGUGCAAGCGUUAUUCGGAAUCACUGGGCGUAAAGGGUGCGUAGGCGGUUUGAUAAGUCUGAUGUGAAAUCCUAUGGCUCAACCAUAGAACUGCAUUGGAAACUGUCAGACUAGAAUACUGAAGGGGCAGAUGGAAUUAGUGGUGUAGGGGUAAAAUCCGUAGAUAUCACUAGGAAUACCGAAAGCGAAAGCGAUCUGCUGGGAAGUUAUUGACGCUGAGGCACGAAAGCGUGGGAGCAAACGGGAUUAGAUACCCCGGUAGUCCACGCCCUAAACGAUGAAUGCUAGUCGUCGGAAAGCUCGUCUUUUCGGUGAUGCAGUUAACACAUUAAGCAUUCCGCCUGGGGAGUACGGUCGCAAGAUUAAAACUCAAAGGAAUAGACGGGGACCCGCACAAGUGGUGGAGCAUGUGGUUUAAUUCGAAGAUACGCGAAGAACCUUACCAAGCCUUGACAUUGAUUGAAUUCACCAGAGAUGGAGAAGUGCCUUUCGAGGAACAUGAAAACAGGUGCUGCACGGCUGUCGUCAGCUCGUGUCGUGAGAUGUUGGGUUAAGUCCCGCAACGAGCGCAACCCUCGCCACUAGUUGCCAGCAGGUUUGGCUGGGCACUCUAGUGGGACUGCCCGUGGCAAGCGGGAGGAAGGUGGGGAUGACGUCAAGUCCUCAUGGCCCUUACGGGCAGGGCUACACACGUGCUACAAUGGCGGCGACAGAGGGUUAAUCCCCAAAAGCCGUCUCAGUUCGGAUUGUCUUCUGCAACUCGAAGGCAUGAAGUUGGAAUCGCUAGUAAUCGUGGAUCAGCAUGCCACGGUGGAUACGUUCCCGGGCCUUGUACACACCGCCCGUCACACCAUGGGAGUUGGUUCUACCUGAAGGCGUUGCGCUAACCAGUUUACUGGAGGCAGGCGACCACGGUAGGGUCAGCGACUGGGGUGAAGUCGUAACAAGGUAACC